UGACGAGUGGCGCACGGGUGAGUAACGCGUACGCAACCUACCCCUUGCCGGGGGAAAGUCACGGGAAACUGUGAAUAAUCCCGUAUGGCACUGAGUUGCUGCAUAGCAAUUCAGUCAAAGCUACGGCGGCAGGGGAUGGGCGUGCGUCCGAUUAGCUAGUUGGCGGGGUAAAGGCCCACCAAGGCGACGAUCGGUAGGGGGCGUGAGAGCGUGACCCCCCACACGGGUACUGAGACACGGACCCG
RNAcentral lists this ribosomal RNA (245 nucleotides) under uncultured bacterium. RNAcentral describes it as "partial 16S ribosomal RNA". It matches the Rfam family "Bacterial small subunit ribosomal RNA", at positions 89 to 334 of the family's 1533-position model. The record is from RNAcentral.